GAGCGAGUGAAACAGUGCAGUGACUGAAGAGAAUUCUCUCCCGUUUCCCAUGAUUUAUCACAGGCGAGGUCACGGCAGGUUAAAAUACUUGAACGCCGCGAUAGCAUACGUCCUGGCAUGGUUUUAUGAGUAGUCAUUCAUAACAUAUUUGUCGCAAAGCAUAAUUUCCAAGAUAGAACCCUGAUCCACAUGCAGUUUUUUUUUUUUCACAGCAACAACACAGGCGCAGUAACUCCUUCGUGGAGACUGCUUCCAUUUUCACAAUGUCCAGCUCCACGCUAGAGCUUCGGGGAAAGGGACCGAGGAAGUGACUGGUUCGCCAACUGAAACUACAAAUCCUAGAGCUGCAACUAUAUUUUAUAAAUGGCCCUCGUUUGGUUCCUGCAUAACAAAUAGUGUCCUCUCAUUGAUGGGGGCUGUUUCAUGCGCCUGCCUUUUUGGAGAAAGAAAACAACUUCUAGUCUCAGGCUUGUAUGAAUCCAGCACUGUUUUUCACAACUUGUUUUCGCCUCAGCGACUUGACAUGGCUCCCUAUCCAUCGCCGGUCCCCACGCUCCACGGUAACGAGAUUUUAAAAACUGUCCAUUUGGCUCCUUCCUGAGGUUUUACUCAUUUUGAAACUUUGCCACGCUGGCUGGCAUGUUUCACAUUUGCUUAUCUCUGAGCUUACUCCCAAGAGCUGCUGAACUUUCCCUUCCAUGUCACUAAGCUGGGACAGAGUGAAGACGGAGAGGAAAGAGUUACUGUCUCACAAGCUGUGACUUUGUCUGUCCAGAGUGGCCCUUGGAUGCAGCUCAUUAUUUGUGGAAAUAGUGUGUGCCACGGGCAAAAAUAACUUUUUAAAAAAAGCACAUCUCUGUACCCUCCUGAAGUCAUCUCAAAAUGAAGUCAAGAUUUCUCAUGAAACGGAGAGAGCUUUAUCAUGGCCCGAGUGGGUCCUUGAGUACUUGUCCCCGCCACAUUGUCUGCUCUGAGCAACCUGAGGGUCCAGACCAAGCUGAAAGAGGCUUCAUGAUGAGCCCUGGGACAGACAAGACUGGGAGCCUUGGUGAAAGGGAGGAGACCCUGUGUCCCCGGUUUUGCCAAGUCAGCCUGGCCCAUCCUCUGACGGCUAAAUCAACACUCUUUAUCCUGUGGCGACUGAUAACGCAUCCACCGCUUCCUGCCAAGGAGGAAAUCCUGAUGGGACAUUAUCAGGGGCGAGACAUCAUCCGUCAGCCGCCGUCACAGGAACCCAGGGCUCAUCCAGACCCCACGCCAAUCUUUCCGCCUUUAUCUGCGCUCCCCAAAUGCCUCAGCCUGUUUGCUGAUAGAGGAAUCCGGCAUCUCCUCUUCUCAAGGACCCGAAAAAGAUUCUUCGAUAGCAAGAAACUAAGCUCUCAGCUUCCCCAGCUCUCAAAGGAGAUGAUCUGA
This 1413-nucleotide long non-coding RNA is filed under the name Sus scrofa (pig). RNAcentral describes it as "lncRNA (ENSSSCG00060021541.1)". Lineage: Eukaryota; Metazoa; Chordata; Mammalia; Artiodactyla; Suidae. The record is from RNAcentral.